AUUGCUACUUCAUAACUGUAAUUUUGAUACUGUUAUGAAUCAUAAAUAUCUGAUAUGCAGGAUAUCUUAGGUAACUCCUCUGAAAGGGUCAUUCAACCCCCAAAAGGGUCACAUCCCACAGGUUGAGAACCACUGCAUUAGAAGGCUUAUAAAAA
Molecule: long non-coding RNA, 155 nt
Organism: Pipistrellus kuhlii (Kuhl's pipistrelle)
Lineage: Eukaryota; Metazoa; Chordata; Mammalia; Chiroptera; Vespertilionidae
Exons: 3
Source: RefSeq, a predicted model, not a curated record